Molecule: ribosomal RNA, 490 nt
Filed under: uncultured bacterium
Lineage: Bacteria
Description: partial 16S ribosomal RNA
Rfam family: Bacterial small subunit ribosomal RNA
Source: RNAcentral
AUUGAACGCUGGCGGCAGGCCUAACACAUGCAAGUCGAACGAUAACAGGAGGCAGUUUGCCGCUUUGCUUACGAGUGGCGGGGGGGUGAAUAAUGUGGGUGAAACUCCCUGAUGGAGGGGGAAAAUUAGGGGAACCGGUGGCAAAAACGGCAAAACGUUGCAACACCAAGGUGGGGGACCUAAGGGCGUUUUGCCAUCGGCUGUGCCAAGAUGGGAUUCGCUAGUAGGUGGGGGAACGGCUAACCGAGGCCACGAUCCCUAGCUGGUCUGAGAGGAUGACCAGCCACACUGGAACUGAGACACGGUCCAGACUCCUACGGGAGGCAGCAGUAGGGAAUAUUGCGCAAUGGGCGCAAGCCUGAUGCAGCAAUGCCGCGUGUAUGAAGAAGGCCUUCAGCUUGUAAAAUACUUUCAUCAGGGAGGAAGAAAGUAAGGUUAAUACCUUAACUCAUUGACGUUACCCGCUGAGGAAGCACCGGCUAACUACGUG